GAUGAACGCUGGCGGCGUGCCUAAUACAUGCAAGUCGAGCGAACAGACGAGGAGCUUGCUCCUCUGACGUUAGCGGCGGACGGGUGAGUAACACGUGGAUAACCUACCUAUAAGACUGGGAUAACUUCGGGAAACCGGAGCUAAUACCGGAUAAUAUAUGGAACCGCAUGGUUCAAUAGUGAAAGACGGUUUUGCUGUCACUUAGAGAUGGAUCCGCGCCGCAUUAGCUAGUUGGUAAGGUAACGGCUUACCAAGGCAACGAUGCGUAGCCGACCUGAGAGGGUGAUCGGCCACACUGGAACUGAGACACGGUCCAGACUCCUACGGGAGGCAGCAGUAGGGAAUCUUCCGCAAAGGGCGAAAGCCUGACGGAGCAACGCCGCGUGAGUGAUGAAGGUCUUCGGAUCGUAAAACUCUGUUAUUAGGGAAGAAAAAAUGUGUAAGUAACUAUGCACGUCUUGACGGUACCUAAUCAGAAAGCCACGGCUAACUACGUG
Molecule: ribosomal RNA, 497 nt
Filed under: uncultured bacterium
Lineage: Bacteria
Description: partial 16S ribosomal RNA
Rfam family: Bacterial small subunit ribosomal RNA
Source: RNAcentral